This is a non-coding RNA of Cinara cedri, 264 nucleotides long. The record is from the annotation of a GenBank genome assembly. Lineage: Eukaryota; Metazoa; Arthropoda; Insecta; Hemiptera; Aphididae.
UAUAGUGUAAUCCCUGCAAAAACGACAAUGAAAACAAGUUGUUUUAAUAUGAGCUAUAGUGGGAUGGAGUCAUGAGUAGGUGUACUUCAAGCAACGUACGUCAUAGGUAAGUAUUAACAAAAUAAAAUAUCCACAAAUCAGUUGUCGGCGACGUGGCAAUGAACCAUCGGAGCAUCAAUGGUGCCGACGAUUAGUUUGUUUGAAAACGAAAGGUUCGUGGUAACCCUCCGGUCAGAUUUUGGUUUAGGUAUUGAGCAACGGGAG